GAUUAAGUUAUUAAGGGCGCACGGUGGAUGCCUUGGCACUAGAAGCCGAUGAAGGACGUUACUAACGACGAUAUGCUUUGGGGAGCUGUAAGUAAGCUUUGAUCCAGAGAUUUCCGAAUGGGGAAACCCAGCAUGAGUUAUGUCAUGUUAUCGAUAUGUGAAUACAUAGCAUAUCAGAAGGCACACCCGGAGAACUGAAACAUCUUAGUACCCGGAGGAAGAGAAAGAAAAUUCGAUUCCCUUAGUAGCGGCGAGCGAAACGGGAAGAGCCCAAACCAACAAGCUUGCUUGUUGGGGUUGUAGGACACUCUAUACGGAGUUACAAAGGACGACAUUAGACGAAUCAUCUGGAAAGAUGAAUCAAAGAAGGUAAUAAUCCUGUAGUCGAAAAUGUUGUCUCUCUUGAGUGGAUCCUGAGUACGACGGAGCACGUGAAAUUCCGUCGGAAUCUGGGAGGACCAUCUCCUAAGGCUAAAUACUCUCUAGUGACCGAUAGUGAACCAGUACCGUGAGGGAAAGGUGAAAAGCACCCCGGAAGGGGAGUGAAAUAGAACCUGAAACCGUGUGCUUACAAGUAGUCAGAGCCCGUUAAUGGGUGAUGGCGUGCCUUUUGUAGAAUGAACCGGCGAGUUACGAUUUGAUGCAAGGUUAAGCAGUAAAUGUGGAGCCGUAGCGAAAGCGAGUCUGAAUAGGGCGUUUAGUAUUUGGUCGUAGACCCGAAACCAGGUGAUCUACCCUUGGUCAGGUUGAAGUUCAGGUAACACUGAAUGGAGGACCGAACCGACUUACGUUGAAAAGUGAGCGGAUGAACUGAGGGUAGCGGAGAAAUUCCAAUCGAACCUGGAGAUAGCUGGUUCUCUCCGAAAUAGCUUUAGGGCUAGCCUCAAGUGAUGAUUAUUGGAGGUAGAGCACUGUUUGGACGAGGGGCCCCUCUCGGGUUACCGAAUUCAGACAAACUCCGAAUGCCAAUUAAUUUAACUUGGGAGUCAGAACAUGGGUGAUAAGGUCCGUGUUCGAAAGGGAAACAGCCCAGACCACCAGCUAAGGUCCCAAAAUAUAUGUUAAGUGGAAAAGGAUGUGGCGUUGCCCAGACAACUAGGAUGUUGGCUUAGAAGCAGCCAUCAUUUAAAGAGUGCGUAAUAGCUCACUAGUCGAGUGACACUGCGCCGAAAAUGUACCGGGGCUAAACAUAUUACCGAAGCUGUGGAUUGUCCUUUGGACAAUGGUAGGAGAGCGUUCUAAGGGCGUUGAAGCAUGAUCGUAAGGACAUGUGGAGCGCUUAGAAGUGAGAAUGCCGGUGUGAGUAGCGAAAGACGGGUGAGAAUCCCGUCCACCGAUUGACUAAGGUUUCCAGAGGAAGGCUCGUCCGCUCUGGGUUAGUCGGGUCCUAAGCUGAGGCCGACAGGCGUAGGCGAUGGAUAACAGGUUGAUAUUCCUGUACCACCUAUAAUCGUUUUAAUCGAUGGGGGGACGCAGUAGGAUAGGCGAAGCGUGCGAUUGGAUUGCACGUCUAAGCAGUAAGGCUGAGUAUUAGGCAAAUCCGGUACUCGUUAAGGCUGAGCUGUGAUGGGGAGAAGACAUUGUGUCUUCGAGUCGUUGAUUUCACACUGCCGAGAAAAGCCUCUAGAUAGAAAAUAGGUGCCCGUACCGCAAACCGACACAGGUAGUCAAGAUGAGAAUUCUAAGGUGAGCGAGCGAACUCUCGUUAAGGAACUCGGCAAAAUGACCCCGUAACUUCGGGAGAAGGGGUGCUCUUUAGGGUUAACGCCCAGAAGAGCCGCAGUGAAUAGGCCCAAGCGACUGUUUAUCAAAAACACAGGUCUCUGCUAAACCGUAAGGUGAUGUAUAGGGGCUGACGCCUGCCCGGUGCUGGAAGGUUAAGAGGAGUGGUUAGCUUCUGCGAAGCUACGAAUCGAAGCCCCAGUAAACGGCGGCCGUAACUAUAACGGUCCUAAGGUAGCGAAAUUCCUUGUCGGGUAAGUUCCGACCCGCACGAAAGGCGUAACGAUUUGGGCACUGUCUCAACGAGAGACUCGGUGAAAUCAUAGUACCUGUGAAGAUGCAGGUUACCCGCGACAGGACGGAAAGACCCCGUGGAGCUUUACUGUAGCCUGAUAUUGAAAUUCGGCACAGCUUGUACAGGAUAGGUAGGAGCCUUUGAAACGUGAGCGCUAGCUUACGUGGAGGCGCUGGUGGGAUACUACCCUAGCUGUGUUGGCUUUCUAACCCGCACCACUUAUCGUGGUGGGAGACAGUGUCAGGCGGGCAGUUUGACUGGGGCGGUCGCCUCCUAAAAGGUAACGGAGGCGCUCAAAGGUUCCCUCAGAAUGGUUGGAAAUCAUUCAUAGAGUGUAAAGGCAUAAGGGAGCUUGACUGCGAGACCUACAAGUCGAGCAGGGUCGAAAGACGGACUUAGUGAUCCGGUGGUUCCGCAUGGAAGGGCCAUCGCUCAACGGAUAAAAGCUACCCCGGGGAUAACAGGCUUAUCUCCCCCAAGAGUUCACAUCGACGGGGAGGUUUGGCACCUCGAUGUCGGCUCAUCGCAUCCUGGGGCUGUAGUCGGUCCCAAGGGUUGGGCUGUUCGCCCAUUAAAGCGGUACGCGAGCUGGGUUCAGAACGUCGUGAGACAGUUCGGUCCCUAUCCGUCGUGGGCGUAGGAAAUUUGAGAGGAGCUGUCCUUAGUACGAGAGGACCGGGAUGGACAUACCUCUGGUGUACCAGUUGUCGUGCCAACGGCAUAGCUGGGUAGCUAUGUGUGGACGGGAUAAGUGCUGAAAGCAUCUAAGCAUGAAGCCCCCCUCAAGAUGAGAUUUCCC
RNAcentral lists this ribosomal RNA (2816 nucleotides) under Staphylococcus aureus. Its description in RNAcentral is "partial 23S ribosomal RNA". It matches the Rfam family "Bacterial large subunit ribosomal RNA". Lineage: Bacteria; Bacillati; Bacillota; Bacilli; Caryophanales; Staphylococcaceae. The record is from RNAcentral.